UGGGGAAUAUUGCGCAAUGGCCGAAAGGUUGACGCAGCGACGCCGCGUGUGGGAGGAAGCCCUUCGGGGUGUAAACCACUGUCAGAAGGGACGAAACCCGAGCACUCGAAUAGGGUGAUCGAUUGACGGUACCUUCAAAGGAAGCGCCGGCUAACUCCGUGCCAGCAGCCGCGGUAAGACGGAGGGCGCGAGCGUUGUUCGGAAUUACUGGGCGUAAAGCGCACGCAGGUGGUUUCUUAAGUCCACUGUUAAAUCACGGGGCUCAACCCCGGAGGUGCAGCGGAUACUGAGAGACUGGAGACCGGUAGAGGCUAGCGGAAUUCCUGGUGUAGCGGUGGAAUGCGUAGAUAUCAGGAGGAACACCGGUGGCGAAGGCGGCUAGCUGGGCCGGUUCUGACGCUCAUGUGCGAAAGCGUGGGGAGCAAACAGG
This 430-nucleotide ribosomal RNA is filed under the name uncultured bacterium. RNAcentral's name for it is "bacterial SSU rRNA". It matches the Rfam family "Bacterial small subunit ribosomal RNA", at positions 355 to 776 of the family's 1533-position model. The record is from RNAcentral.